GUUAAUGGGUCUCUAUGGGGUUAAUGGGUCUCUAUGGGGCCACUAUGGGACUCUAUAGGGCCCCUAUAGGGUUAAUGGGUCUCUAUGGGGUUAAUGGGACUCUAUGAGGCCUCUAUGGGGUUAAUGGGACACUAUGGGGAUUCUAUAGGGUUAAUGGGUCUCUAUGAGGCUCUAUGGGGCCACUAUGGGGUUAAUAGGACCCUAUGGGUCUCUAUGGGGAUAAGGGGACUCUAUGGGGCCACUAUGGGGUUAAUGGGACCCUAUGGGGUUGCUAUGGGGUUAAUAGGACCCUAUGGGGCCACUAUGGGGUUAAUGGGACUCUAUGGUGACUCUAUGGGGCCAAGGGGUCUGUAUGGGGCCGCUAUGGGGUUAACAGGACCCUAUGGGGUCUCUAUGGGGUUAACAGGACCCUAUGGGGUCUCUAUGGUGUUAACGGGUCUCUAUGGGGCCUCUAUGGGGUUAAUGGGUCUCUAUGGGGUUAAUGGGACUCUAUGGGGCCCCUAUAGGGUUAAUGGGUCUCUAUGGGGUCUCUAUGGGGUUAAUGGGUCUCUAUGGGGUCUCUAUGGGGCCUCUAUGGGGUUAAUGGGUCUCUAUGGGGCCACUAUGGGGUUAAUGGGUCUCUAUGGGGUGUCUAUGGGUCUCUAUGGGGCCAAUGUUUCCCUAUAG
Long non-coding RNA from Coturnix japonica (Japanese quail), 666 nucleotides. NCBI's taxonomy places the organism in Eukaryota, Metazoa, Chordata, Aves, Galliformes, Phasianidae. The record is from Ensembl.